UGGCUCUUGCAUCGAUGAAGAACGCAGCUAAAUGCGAUAGGUAAUGUGAAUUGCAGAAUUCCGUGAAUCAUCAAAUUUUUGAACGCAAAUUGCACUCUCUGGUAUUCCGGGGAGUAUACUUGCUUGAGGGUUAGUGAUUACAAAUCGUGAAAAGAAAU
RNAcentral lists this ribosomal RNA (158 nucleotides) under uncultured fungus. RNAcentral describes it as "5.8S ribosomal RNA". The stretch from base 1 to 133 matches the Rfam family "5.8S ribosomal RNA", at positions 22 to 154 of the family's 154-position model. Rfam says of the family: 5.8S ribosomal RNA (5.8S rRNA) is a component of the large subunit of the eukaryotic ribosome. It is transcribed by RNA polymerase I as part of the 45S precursor that also contains 18S and 28S rRNA. Functionally, it is thought that 5.8S rRNA may be involved in ribosome translocation. Lineage: Eukaryota; Fungi. The record is from RNAcentral.